CCGCCGCCUCCCCUUUCACCGAGUCAUAAGUCCCAAACGUGCUCGUCCUCCAUCCCAGCCACAAUUGAUCGCCCUCGCUGAAAAACACAUGCAGCGUCCCGGCGAUUUGGCCCAGCGCCGGGGCAAUCUGAUAGUCCGCCGACACCGAUGGCGCUAGCAAGACCACAUUCUCCACUUCCACCCGCUUCUCCAGUCGGCUCAAACUCCCGAGAAGCACCCCGCAUCCCGCGCUGUGCCCCAGCAGCGUUAACCUGCCCG
This 258-nucleotide unclassified non-coding RNA is filed under the name uncultured bacterium. RNAcentral's name for it is "contains 16S-23S intergenic spacer region". The record is from RNAcentral.